AGCGUAGACGGCAUGGCAAGUCUGAAGUGAAAGGCCAGGGCUCAACCCUGGGACUGCUUUGGAAACUGUCAGGCUGGAGUGCAGGAGAGGUAAGUGGAAUUCCUAGUGUAGCGGUGAAAUGCGUAGAUAUUAGGAGGAACACCAGUGGCGAAGGCGGCUUACUGGACUGCAACUGACGUUGAGGCUGAAAGCGUGGGGAGCAAACA
Molecule: ribosomal RNA, 206 nt
Filed under: uncultured bacterium
Lineage: Bacteria
Description: partial 16S ribosomal RNA
Rfam family: Bacterial small subunit ribosomal RNA
Source: RNAcentral